Molecule: long non-coding RNA, 2344 nt
Organism: Perognathus longimembris pacificus (Pacific pocket mouse)
Lineage: Eukaryota; Metazoa; Chordata; Mammalia; Rodentia; Heteromyidae
Exons: 3
Source: RefSeq, a predicted model, not a curated record
GGCAGAAGCCACAUAGAAUCCACAGGCGCUUGAAACUUCCUGGGAAACAGAGAGAAGCAAGAGCCCCUUUAUCAGGAUCAGACAGAGCUCUGUGCUACCCAUUCUCCAUCCCUCCCUUCCCGUGGGAUCUCUGGUAGAAGGUGGGAGGCACCCACUGUGAGGGACUUGAAGGCCUUAGAACUCCUACCUUGGCGCCUCUUCAUUAUUCCCAAAGCCACUUUCCAAAGAGUUCUUCCAGGCCAAGAGCUAUUGCCCUCUCAUUCCAACUUUCAGAGGACUUUUAAUGCUGCCUUUUGUCUCUUGCACAGUUGAUAAACUGGCCCCGCAUCCUCCUCCCUUUAUCUGCAGCUCCAUAGAAGUCUAUUGCACUGCAGAGGCUGAUCUGUUUCACAAGCUCCUUUGUGUCCACCCUCAAAGGAAAGGCUUUGAAAGUUGUGACCAUGAAGCUUUGAGUUUGGCUGUGCUUCUUCCCCAGUUACAUAACCACAUAACCCCAGGAGCCCAAGAAUGGCCAAGGACAGACCUGAUGAGCUCCACGGGCCACACUUGGACAGCAGCCCAUUGUGCCAGGGGAGGGAAGACCCCAGCCAACACCAAGGGCCAUAGCAGCUGGGCUCUUUGUCCUUUGCCAGGCCAUGCCUGCAUGGUGAAUGACAAUGAAUGGGAUUUAGGGGGGCAGGAAGUACUGAGUAGGCUGUCAGAGCAAGCUGAAGCCAUUGAAUGAACAACAUUCCAUCAGGAAUUUUCCUCAGAAAAGCACACAUAAACAGCACUCCAGCUUGAGGAUUUGCCUCUCCUUUCUGUUAGGAAGCUGUGUGGCUGGAAUUGCCAUUGUUUGGUUUGUCAACAAAAGGAUGGACUGAAGGUAAGAGUGUUUCUGGACUUGGAAAGAGGUAGCAAUAGGUUUGCAUGCUGAAAAUGAUUGGCAGAUGUAUUGAAGUGUGUCUGGGAUGCCAUCAGUGAGCCCACCGUGCCUCGCCUGUCCCACUGGUCAGCAGAGUAUCUGCUCCAUGACCUCAGGAUGUUGCUGGACCUGGGAGAGACAUACCAUCACGCAGGAGCCGGCUCCAUUCAAGGAAAGGAAGCAGACAUUCCUUCCAGAAUAUACUGACUGAAAGAUGUGCAGGGUUUCCUCAAACAUUGGGUGGGAAAAUGAGAAGAUGCGUUUAAAUCAAGCAGAAGACAAGAGGAUUGUGUGACUGGACUCAACAGUGUAGCCGGGCUUCAGAUCUCAACGUUUUCCCUCACCUCCCAGGGUUGAUAGUGGUAUCCCACUCUGGGAGCCACAAGUCCUGUGUGGAAGGUGACUGCCACUGUAAUUCCUUCAGCCAGCAGAGGACCUUGAGAACAGACACUGCCUGUCUGUUGCCAUGUAGUGGUCUGUCAGUACUUCUGUCAGGAAGGUCAGGCCCAAUAAAAACCAGACUAUCUAGGGAGGGAGCCCGGGGCUGGGCGCAGUACUUAUCUUAAGGGAAGGAGCCUUCGCAUUUACUAGCUGAGGGCUUUGUUUACCCCAUGAGGAAGGUGGGUCCCACCACAGCCCCUAACUAAUUCAAGCCUUCCUGUUCUAGUUCACCUUAUCUUGAUGAAGAGAGCAAUUUGUUUUACAUCUUUAUGCAGCUGAAGCAGAGGAAGCUAAGCAAGUAGAACUGGGGGGGGGGGUGUUUUUGAUUACAAGUACAUUAAGGCUAAGCUGUGAUUUCUAAAGCUCUUUCAUUUGUGACAGGAGCCAAUUUCCUCUCUCCCAGACAGCAGCCUGUUACUCUUCUGAAAAUGAGCCCCCCCCCCCCGCCUCCCCUGCAAGUUAUAGUCUAAGAAGUGGCAGAGUCACAAGUGUGCAUUGAGCAGCACAAGAUCCUCUACUUGACACCCAAAGGAGAAUGCUUGAUCAAGAGAGAAAAUUCCACUUGGAGCCUGAUGUUUGAGCCAUUUCCAAUUUGGUUUUCCUGCAGUGUCCUCUCUCAGCCCUCUCUGGAGCAAAAUUCACCUGGAGCUCCCACCUUCCACUCUACUACACACAACUUGUUUUCUGGUGGUUAAUUGGAAAUUAGAGUGUCAAGGACUUUCCUGCUGUGGACUGGCUUUGAACCACAAUCCUCAGAUCUCAGCUUCCUGCGUAGUAGCUAGGACUAUAGGCAUGAGUCACCAGUGCCCGGCUGCUGUUGUUCCUCUUGACAAGAUACUUCUUGUUCUUGUCAGCCCCUCAGUUUGUGACUGUUGGCAGUGCAUACCAUCCUGGGCUGUGAGCUCUGGGUAGCUUCUCUGUGGUGCUUGAGAGCUUCAGGGCCCCCCUAUGCCCUGAGAAUCUGGCAGCACCCUUCUUCCUUUGCCACCUUAAGAAGUU